UGGGGAAUCUUGCGCAAUGGGCGAAAGCCUGACGCAGCGACGCCGCGUGCGGGAAGAAGGCCUUCGGGUUGUAAACCGCUUUCAGGAGGGACGAAGCCACUCGGGUUAAUAGCCCAGAGGGUGACGGUACCUCCAGAAGAAGCCCCGGCUAACUACGUGCCAGCAGCCGCGGUAAUACGUAGGGGGCUAGCGUUGUCCGGAUUUAUUGGGCGUAAAGAGCGCGUAGGCGGCCGAGUAAGUCCGACGUGAAAUCUGGAGGCUCAACCUCCAGCGGUCGUUGGAAACUACUCGGCUAGAGUCCGGAAGAGGAGAGUGGAAUUCCUGGUGUAGCGGUGAAAUGCGCAGAUAUCAGGAAGAACACCGAUGGCGAAAGCAGCUCUCUGGGACGGUACUGACGCUGAGGCGCGAAAGCGUGGGGAGCGAACAGGAUUAGAUACCCUGGUAGUCCACGCCGUAAACGAUGGGUGCUAGGUGUGGGCGGUGUCGACUCCGCCCGUGCCGAAGCUAACG
Molecule: ribosomal RNA, 510 nt
Filed under: uncultured Actinomycetes bacterium
Lineage: Bacteria; Bacillati; Actinomycetota; Actinomycetes
Description: bacterial SSU rRNA
Rfam family: Bacterial small subunit ribosomal RNA
Source: RNAcentral